This 753-nucleotide ribosomal RNA is filed under the name uncultured bacterium. RNAcentral describes it as "bacterial SSU rRNA". It matches the Rfam family "Bacterial small subunit ribosomal RNA", at positions 28 to 776 of the family's 1533-position model. The record is from RNAcentral.
GAUGAACGCUAGCGGCAGGCUUAACACAUGCAAGUCGAGGGGUAACGAUAGUGCUUGCACUAGGCGACGACCGGCGAACGGGUGCGUAACGCGUAUAGAAUCUGCCUUGUACAGGAGGAUAGCCUUUAGAAAUGAAGAUUAAUACUCCAUAAUGUAUUGCGGUGGCAUCACCACAAUAUUAAAGAUUUAUUGGUACAAGAUGACUAUGCGUCCUAUUAGUUAGUUGGUAAGGUAACGGCUUACCAAGGCAGCGAUAGGUAGGGGGUCUGAGAGGAUUAUCCCCCACACUGGUACUGAGACACGGACCAGACUCCUACGGGAGGCAGCAGUGAGGAAUAUUGGACAAUGGGCGCAAGCCUGAUCCAGCCAUGCCGCGUGCAGGAAGACUGCCCUAUGGGUUGUAAACUGCUUUUAUACAGGAAGAAACUGUAGUACGUGUACUACACUGACGGUACUGUAAGAAUAAGCACCGGCUAACUCCGUGCCAGCAGCCGCGGUAAUACGGAGGGUGCAAGCGUUAUCCGGAAUCAUUGGGUUUAAAGGGUCCGCAGGCGGUCGAUUAAGUCGGAGGUGAAAUCCCAUAGCUUAACUAUGGAACUGCCUUUGAUACUGGUUGACUUGAGUCAUAUGGAAGUGGAUAGAAUAAGUAGUGUAGCGGUGAAAUGCAUAGAUAUUACUUAGAAUACCGAUUGCGAAGGCAGUCCACUACGUAUGUACUGACGCUCAUGGACGAAAGCGUGGGGAGCGAACAGG